This 450-nucleotide ribosomal RNA is filed under the name uncultured bacterium. RNAcentral's name for it is "partial 16S ribosomal RNA". It matches the Rfam family "Bacterial small subunit ribosomal RNA", at positions 338 to 795 of the family's 1533-position model. The record is from RNAcentral.
CCUACGGGUGGCUGCAGUUUCGAAUCAUUCACAAUGGGCGAAAGCCUGAUGGUGCGACGCCGCGUGAGGGAUGAAGGUCUUCGGAUUGUAAACCUCUGUCACUGGGGAGAAAACGCUUUGAGUUAAUAGUUCAAAGCCUGAUUUAACCCGGAGAGGAAGCAGUGGCUAACUCUGUGCCAGCAGCCGCGGUAAUACAGAGACUGCAAGCGUUAUUGGGAUGGGUGGGGCGUAAGGGGUGCGCAGGAGGUGUGAAAUCCCGAGGCUUAACCUCGGAACUGCGUCUGACACUACUCGACUAGAGUACUGGAGAGGGAAACGGAAUUCACGGUGUAGCAGUGAAAUGCGUAGAUAUCGUGAGGAACACCAGAGGCGAAGGCGGUUUCCUGGACAGUUACUGACGCUCAGGCACGAAAGCAUGGGGAGCAAAAGGGAUUAGAUACCCCUGUAGUC